UAAAAUUUAUAAAAUUAGGUAGUAGAAAAAUUUUUGAAACCUAAAGAAUUUGGCGGUAUUUUAAAUAAUUGGAGGAACCUGUUAUUUAAUUGACAGUCCACAACACAUCUUUCCUAAAUUUUAUUUGUAUAUCGUCGUUUUGAUAAUAUUUAAAAAUUAUAAUCGAUAUUAAUAAAUUUUUUAAAAAUCAGAUCAAGGUGCAGUAUAUUUAGGAUAUAAUGGGUUACAAUAUAUUUAUAUAUUAUGGAUAUAAAAUUAAAAAUACAUUAAAAGUGGAUUCAAAAGUAAAAUUAAAUUAAAAUGUUAAUUUGAUUUAUAAUUUAAAAUAUGC
This 331-nucleotide ribosomal RNA is filed under the name Chihuahuanus kovariki. Its description in RNAcentral is "partial 12S ribosomal RNA". The record is from RNAcentral. Lineage: Eukaryota; Metazoa; Arthropoda; Arachnida; Scorpiones; Vaejovidae.